This is a non-coding RNA of Pelobates cultripes (western spadefoot toad), 159 nucleotides long. NCBI's taxonomy places the organism in Eukaryota, Metazoa, Chordata, Amphibia, Anura, Pelobatidae. The record is from the annotation of a GenBank genome assembly.
GCUGACACAUCCCGGCCAAUCUCCAGCAGACCCUCCCUCCCAGACCCUCCUACUUCCUGGACAGCAUCCAUGUUGAGGGCAGCUUCAACAUGGAUGCUGUCCAGGAGGUGGGAGGGUCUGGGAGGGAGGGUCUGCCGGAGAUUGGCAGGGAUGUGUCAG